This 497-nucleotide ribosomal RNA is filed under the name uncultured bacterium. RNAcentral describes it as "partial 16S ribosomal RNA". It matches the Rfam family "Bacterial small subunit ribosomal RNA", at positions 28 to 507 of the family's 1533-position model. The record is from RNAcentral.
GAUGAACGCUGGCGGCGUGCCUAAUACAUGCAAGUCGAGCGAACAGACGAGGAGCUUGCCCCUCUGACGUUAGCGGCGGACGGGUGAGUAACACGUGGAUAACCUACCUAUAAGACUGGGAUAACUUCGGGAAACCGGAGCUAAUACCGGAUAAUAUAUUGAACCGCAUGGUUCAAUAGUGAAAGACGGUUUUGCUGUCACCUAUAGAUGGAUCCGCGCCGCAUUAGCUAGUUGGUAAGGUAACGGCUUACCAAGGCAACGAUGCGUAGCCGACCUGAGAGGGGGAUCGGCCACACUGGAACUGAGACACGGUCCAGACUCCUACGGGAGGCAGCAGUAGGGAAUCUUCCGCAAUGGGCGAAAGCCUGACGGAGCAACGCCGCGUGAGUGAUGAAGGUCUUCGGAUCGUAAAACUCUGUUAUUAGGGAAGAACAAAUGUGUAAGUAACUAUGCACGUCUUGACGGUACCUAAUCAGAAAGCCACGGCUAACUACGUG